GCCACACACCUCAUUCUUAUCAAGAAAAGUCUAGAAAAGAAGAGAAGAGGAGAGAAAGGAAGAGAAGAAACUAGAGAAACUAGAGAGAGAAAGCUACAAAUUUGAGAGAAAAAGAGCCCAAAAUGUUACCAAACAGCCCCAAAGUUUCAGCUGCGCUAACGGAACUUCCGAGGCGAGUUUCGGCGAGUUUCGGCUAAGGUUCAAGAGACGACGAGGCGAGCAUAGUUAAGAGUAAUCCGUAAGAGGUAUGUAAAGUUUAUCCUUUCUCUUCUUUUGGCAUGUCUUUGUCAUAAGUAUGUAAAGCCUAUCUUUUAUCUUCUUUUGGCAUGUCUUUGUCAUAAGUAUGUAAAGCUUAUUCUUUCUCUUGGUAUAUUUUGGCAUAAGUACGUAAAGUUAAUCUUUCUUUUGGGCAUGGUAUUUAUGAAACAAAAAUAUGACUUUUAUAGAAUUUCAAAUAAGUUUCUAUUCCUAGAGCCACUAGGAUGGCCAAUUUUCUUGAUUUCCGAAA
Molecule: long non-coding RNA, 508 nt
Organism: Solanum dulcamara
Lineage: Eukaryota; Viridiplantae; Streptophyta; Magnoliopsida; Solanales; Solanaceae
Exons: 3
Source: RefSeq, a predicted model, not a curated record